This 312-nucleotide ribosomal RNA is filed under the name uncultured Atopobium sp. RNAcentral's name for it is "bacterial SSU rRNA". It matches the Rfam family "Bacterial small subunit ribosomal RNA", at positions 28 to 339 of the family's 1533-position model. Lineage: Bacteria; Bacillati; Actinomycetota; Coriobacteriia; Coriobacteriales; Atopobiaceae. The record is from RNAcentral.
GAUGAACGCUGGCGGCGCGCCUAACACAUGCAAGUCGAACGGUUAAAGCACCUCCGGGUGUGUAUAAAGUGGCGAACGGCUGAGUAACACGUGGGCAACCUGCCCCUCGCUCCGGGACAGCCUCGGGAAACUGGGAGUAAUACCGGAUACUCCGCCACCCCCGCAUGGGGGAGGCGGGAAAGCUCCGACGGCGAGGGAUGGGCCCGCGGCCUGUUAGCUUGUUGGUGGGGUAACGGCCUACCAAGGCAAUGAUGGGUAGCUGGGUUGAGAGACCGACCAGCCAGAUUGGGACUGAGACACGGCCCAGACUCC